RNAcentral lists this ribosomal RNA (254 nucleotides) under uncultured bacterium. RNAcentral describes it as "partial 16S ribosomal RNA". It matches the Rfam family "Bacterial small subunit ribosomal RNA", at positions 524 to 776 of the family's 1533-position model. The record is from RNAcentral.
CACGUAGGGUGCGGGCGUUGUCCGGAAUUAUUGGGCGUAAAGAGCUCGUAGGCGGUGUGUCGCGUCGGCCGUGAAAACCUGCAGCUUAACUGUGGGCUUGCGGUCGAUACGGGCAUCACUGGAGUUCGGCAGGGGAGACUGAAAUUCCUGGUGUAGCGGUGAAAUGCGCAGAUAUCAGGAGGAACACCGGUGGCGAAGGCGGGUCUCUGGGCCGAUACUGACGCUGAGGAGCGAAAGCGUGGGGAGCGAACAGG